AAGUGCUAGGGUUGCGAGUGGCACCAGAGAGGUCCCCUUGUCCCGGGGUCCAUUUGAGGGUGAGCGUGUUGGUGCCGAGCUGUUUUUUUGUUUUGUUUUGCUUUGUGUUUUUGAGACCGAGUCUCGUUCUGUCGCCCAGGCUGGAAUGCAGUGGUGUGAUCUUGGCUCACCGCAACCUCCACCUUCCGGGUUCAAGUGAAUCUCCUGCCUCAGCCUCCUGAGUAGCUGGGAUUACAGGCACCCGCCACCACGACCAGCUAAUUUUUGUAUUUUUAGUAGAGACAGGUUUUCACCAUGUUGGCCAGGAUGGUCUCAAUCUCCUGACCUCAGGCGAUCUGCCUGCCUCAGCUUCCCAAAGUGCUGGGAUUACAGGUGUGAGCCACUGCACCCAACCAGUGCUGAGCUGUUUUGACAACUCGGACCCCGGGUCCUCUGUGGGUAGGAAAAUCAGCUCCCUCUUUGCUCCUCUGGGGCAGCUGCACCUCGGGCCAGCUUCCUGCCUGUCUCCCUGCCAGCACUGCUGGGUCGCCGUCCCCAAACGCACAGCCGGUGCCCUGUGCCUAUUACCUGCCAGCCUGUCUGUUUCCUUCCAGCUAGAAGGUCUUCAGUUUCCAGAAAAGCCAAAGCAUCUUUGGACCUACGUAGGGAAGGACCUGCCUGUGACCUUUGCCCUGUCCUGGAGGGUCCAGCUUUGGGCUGAAUGGCAGCACCCACGCUGGGCCGUCUGGUGCUGACCCACCUGCUGGUGGCCCUUUUUGGCAUGGGCUCCUGGGCUGCUGUGAAUGGGAUCUGGGUAGAGCUGCCUGUCGUGGUAAAAGACCUUCCAGAGGGUUGGAGCCUCCCCUCAUACCUCUCUGUGGUUGUGGCGCUGGGAAACCUGGGUCUGCUGGUGGUGACCCUGUGGAGGCGGCUGGCCCCGGGCAAGGGCGAGCAGGUCCCCAUCCAGGUGGUACAGGUGCUGAGUGUAGUGGGCACAGCCCUGCUGGCCCCUCUGUGGCACCACGUCGCCCCAGUAGCAGGGCAGCUCCACUCUGUGGCCUUCCUAACUCUGGCCUUGGUGUUGGCAAUGGCCUGUUGUACCUCUAACGUCACUUUCCUGCCCUUCCUGAGCCACCUGCCACUCCCUUUCUUACGGUCUUUCUUCCUGGGUCAGGGUCUCAGUGCCCUGCUGCCCUGUGUGCUGGCCCUAGUGCAAGGUGUGGGCCGCCUCGAGUGCCCGCCAGCGCCCACCAAUGGCACCUUUGGGCCUCCCCUCGACUUCCCUGAGCGUUUUCCUGCCAGCACCUUCUUCUGGGCACUGACUGCCCUUCUGGUCACUUCAGCUGCCGCCUUCCAGGGUCUCCUGUUGCUGUUGCCAUCACUACCCUCUGUAACCACAGGGGGCUCAGGGCCUGAACUUCAGUUGGGGUCCCCAGGAGCAGAGGAGGAAGAGAAGGAGGAAGAAGAGGCUUUGCCAUUGCAGGAGCCACCGAGCCAGGCAGCAGGCACCAUCCCUGGCCCAGACCCUGAGGCCCAUCAGCUGUUCUCAGCCCAUGGUGCCUUCCUGCUGGGCCUGAUGGCCUUCACCAGUGCCCUGACCAAUGGCGUGCUGCCUUCUGUGCAGAGCUUUUCCUGUUUGCCCUAUGGGCGCCUGGCCUACCACCUGGCUGUGGUGCUGGGCAGUGCCGCCAACCCCCUUGCCUGCUUCCUGGCCAUGGGCGUGCUGUGCAGGUGCAAAAGGGGCCCCAGGCUUGGUGGGUGGAACUUAAGGUUGGGGUCCAGGUCCCAGAACAGCCAGCCCUGAGUCUCUGCUCAUCCCCAACAGGUCCCUGGCAGGGCUGGUUGGUCUUUCUCUGCUGGGCAUACUCUUUGGGGCCUAUCUGAUGGCACUGGCAAUCCUGAGCCCCUGCCCACCCCUGGUGGGCACCACUGCAGGGGUGGUCCUUGUGGUGCUGUCGUGGGUGCUGUGUCUGUGUGUGUUCUCAUACGUGAAGGUGGCUGCAAGCUCUCUGCUGCAUGGUGGGGGUCAGCCGGCAUUGCUGGCAGCUGGUGUGGCCAUCCAAGUGGGCUCCCUGCUUGGUGCCGGUGCCAUGUUCCCUCCCACCAGCAUCUACCACGUGUUUCAAAGCAGAAAGGACUGUGUAGACCCCUGUGGCCCCUGAGCCUGGGCAGGUGGGGACCCAACUCCACCCCACCUGUCUUCAUCGUGAGGCUGCCGCAGUGCCUGACUACUUGUGGCCCAGGCAGGCUUCCCCCAACACAGGAAUGCUCAUGGACGCCUGCACACUCCACAGAAGACGCUAGCAUGUCAGGCCAGGGUGGGCACCAAAGACCAGGCCCGGAGCCAGGGGACAGGCCGGGGCUGUGGGCUUGGCCCCAGGGCCUGAGAUCUUUGUGGGAUUU
Molecule: small RNA, 2382 nt
Filed under: Pongo abelii (Sumatran orangutan)
Lineage: Eukaryota; Metazoa; Chordata; Mammalia; Primates; Hominidae
Description: retained intron
Source: RNAcentral